AACUUUUGGCAAUGGAUCACUUGGCUCUCGCAUCGAUGAAGAAAGCAGCGAAAUGCGAUAAGUAAUGUGAAUUGCAGAAUUCAGUGAAUCAUCGAAUCUUUGAACGCACCUUGCGCCCUUUGGCUAUUCCGAAGGGCAUGCCUGUUUGAGUAUCAUGAACACCUCAACUCUCAUGGCUUGCCAUGAUGAGCUUGGACUUUGGGGGUCUUGUUGGCCUGUGAGCCAGCUCCUCUUAAAUGAAUUAGCUUGCCGGUGUUUGGUGGCGUCACGGGUGUGAUAACUAUCUACGCUUGUGGUUUCCCACCAGGUAACCUUCAGCAAUGGAGGUUCGCCGGAGCUUAUAAAUGUCUCUCCUCGGUGAGGACACAUUUUGACCAUUUGAUCUCAAAUCAGGUAGGACUACCCGCUGAACUUAAGCAUAUCAAUAAGCGGAGGCU
This 437-nucleotide unclassified non-coding RNA is filed under the name uncultured Thelephoraceae. Its description in RNAcentral is "sequence contains ITS2". The stretch from base 1 to 155 matches the Rfam family "5.8S ribosomal RNA". Lineage: Eukaryota; Fungi; Basidiomycota; Agaricomycetes; Thelephorales; Thelephoraceae. The record is from RNAcentral.